This 548-nucleotide ribosomal RNA is filed under the name uncultured bacterium. Its description in RNAcentral is "partial 16S ribosomal RNA". It matches the Rfam family "Bacterial small subunit ribosomal RNA", at positions 355 to 895 of the family's 1533-position model. The record is from RNAcentral.
UGGGGAAUACUGGACAAUGGGCGCAAGCCUGAUCCAGCAAUGCCGCGUGUGUGAAGAAGGCCUUCGGGUUGUAAAGCACUUUUGUCCGGAAAGAAAUCCUUGGCUCUAAUACAGUCGGGGGAUGACGGUACCGGAAGAAUAAGCACCGGCUAACUACGUGCCAGCAGCCGCGGUAAUACGUAGGGUGCAAGCGUUAAUCGGAAUUACUGGGCGUAAAGCGUGCGCAGGCGGUUUGCUAAGACCGAUGUGAAAUCCCCGGGCUCAACCUGGGAACUGCAUUGGUGACUGGCAGGCUAGAGUAUGGCAGAGGGGGGUAGAAUUCCACGUGUAGCAGUGAAAUGCGUAGGGAUGUGGAGGAAUACCGAUGGCGAAGGCAGCCCCCUGGGCCAAUACUGACGCUCAUGCACGAAAGCGUGGGGAGCAAACAGGAUUAGAUACCCUGGUAGUCCACGCCCUAAAACGAUGUCAACUAGUUGUUGGGGAUUCAUUUCCUUAGUAACGUAGCUAACGCGUGAAGUUGACCGCCUGGGGAGUACGGUCGCAAGAUU